RNAcentral lists this long non-coding RNA (1372 nucleotides) under Citrus sinensis (sweet orange). Its description in RNAcentral is "long non-coding RNA (CSIN_LNC004014)". Lineage: Eukaryota; Viridiplantae; Streptophyta; Magnoliopsida; Sapindales; Rutaceae. The record is from RNAcentral.
GGUUUUCUGGGCUUCAUCUGGGUUGGUUACAAAGCCGUUAAACCGCUCGCUCUGGUGCAACAAAAAGGGGGGAUUGUGUGAGCUUUAUAGAGAGAGAUUGCUGAGAGAAUUGAACAGAAAUUUCCGCCCACUGUGGUAGUUAUUUAAAAACACCAAAAAUUAGCUGAACCACGCAAAUCGAUUUGUCCUCCGUUUUUCUUUUGAUUCGUUGAUUCUAUUCAUCUCUUAAUUGCUUUCUGUUCUUCAUCAUCAUCAUCGUUUGCAUUUCAUAUCAAUUAAGCUUCAAAUCAGUUUGAUCUUGGAAGCAUCUUGGCAGAUUUGGUUUGUGAUCUUGGGCAGCAACUGAUCACUUCAGUUGCCACACUGCAUCCACCAGAGUUUAAAGUGAGCGGAGCAUCUGCAUAUACUAGAAAAAAAAAUAAUGAAUAAAUAAAAUAACGUAAGGUCAAAGAACCGAAGCCAGAGAUCUCCCAAUAUUCACUCUUCACUCGGGCCUAAGCCAGCGAUGCCACCACUCCAACAAAGUCACUGGGCCUCCGUCGAUAACCAACUUCUUCAAGGAACCGGUUAGUUACAUUGUUUACUUUAAUUUCUCUUUUAUUCCAUCCAUGAGCUUCUGAUCCUUCAACCAUGCAGAUGAUUUUUCUCUUCCCCAAAAAAAAAAAAGAAAGAGGUCUUUUUAAGUAUAAUCUUGAAAUCCCAUUAUUUUAAAACAAACAAUUUAGUGUAAAGUCUCUGAUUAGUGCUUUAAUGCUUUGAUUUGAUGCUUGUUAUGUUUGGUCAAUUUUAGGAGUUAAUUUGGGUGUUCUUCUUAGUAGCUACUCUGUUUUGCUCUGUUUCUUGAUUCAUGUUAUUUUAAGAGUAGCUUUUUAUUAGGGUAUGAGCUUCAUGUUAACUUUUCUAUUUAAAUUAUUCCCUAAAUACGUAGAUUCACUACAGGCUUUAUGGCACUCAAAUUGCUCUUACAUGCAGGAAGUGAUGAGUUUUCAAUUGAAGAGAAUCAAAUGGAUGAGUUUUCUGGAUUCCAUCUGUUUGAGCAAAUAAGAACGUUGUUUCGACGAAGGAGACUGAAUCAUUCAAUCAAUCAUCUCUGUUUAAAUUUGAUAAAAAAGAGAUUGGUACCAAUUCAAAGUACAAAAAUCUAACGACUAUGAAAAUAUAAGGUAACAAUAAUAAAAGUUGUGAGAAGUUAGGAAAGCUUGUCAGCCAACUUAUUCUUGUCCAAUUCAAGAAGUUUUAAAACUAGUCUGGAUGAUACACGGAGUAUUUCUUUCUUUCCUAUUUUUCUCCCCCUUUAUUGGAUGUAUUAUGAAUUUAUGAAUUCCAUCGACAUUAGCAAGUAAGAUAUAAGUUGUUCAAAAAUCAGUUCAUG